Molecule: non-coding RNA, 135 nt
Organism: Neophaeococcomyces mojaviensis
Lineage: Eukaryota; Fungi; Ascomycota; Eurotiomycetes; Chaetothyriales
Source: the annotation of a GenBank genome assembly
AGCAACAUGGCGCAGCGGAAGCGCGCCGGGCUCAUACCUAUUUCGGAAACUCAGCCGAGCCACUUCUUAGCUCGGCAAGUCUCGAAAAGGUCAAAGGGUACCCGGAGGGCGCUGGAUCGAAACCAGCUGUUGCUA